GGCAUGGUGUAGUGGUUUUAGCAUUGGAUUAUGAAUCUGGAGACCAGGGUUCAGAUCCCUGCUCAGCCA
This 69-nucleotide transfer RNA is filed under the name Phrynosoma platyrhinos (Desert horned lizard). RNAcentral's name for it is "tRNA-OTHER". Lineage: Eukaryota; Metazoa; Chordata; Lepidosauria; Squamata; Phrynosomatidae. The record is from RNAcentral.